Molecule: ribosomal RNA, 269 nt
Filed under: uncultured bacterium
Lineage: Bacteria
Description: partial 16S ribosomal RNA
Rfam family: Bacterial small subunit ribosomal RNA
Source: RNAcentral
UUAUUUUAGCGGCGGACGGGUGAGUAACGUGUGGGUAACCUGCCUUUUACUGGGGAAUAAUCACUGGAAACGGUGACUAAUACCGCAUACGGUUCUUGGAAGGCAUCUUCUAGGAAAGAAAGGAUUUAUUCGGUAAAAGAUGGGCCCGCAUCUGAUUAGCUAGUUGGUGAGAUAACAGCCCACCAAGGCGACGAUCAGUAGCCGACCUGAGAGGGUGACCGGCCACAUUGGGACUGAGACACGGCCCAAACUCCUACGGGAGGCAGCAG